This 778-nucleotide ribosomal RNA is filed under the name uncultured bacterium. RNAcentral describes it as "partial 16S small subunit ribosomal RNA". It matches the Rfam family "Bacterial small subunit ribosomal RNA", at positions 56 to 826 of the family's 1533-position model. The record is from RNAcentral.
UGCNGUCNNAGCGGUANCACAGGGNGCUUGCUCCUGGGUGACGAGCGGCGGACGGGUGAGUAAUGUCUGGGAAACUGCCUGAUGGAGGGGGAUAACUACUGGAAACGGUAGCUAAUACCGCAUAAUGUCGCAAGACCAAAGAGGGGGACCUUCGGGCCUCUUGCCAUCAGAUGUGCCCAGAUGGGAUUAGCUAGUAGGUGGGGUAACGGCUCACCUAGGCGACGAUCCCUAGCUGGUCUGAGAGGAUGACCAGCCACACUGGAACUGAGACACGGUCCAGACUCCUACGGGAGGCAGCAGUGGGGAAUAUUGCACAAUGGGCGCAAGCCUGAUGCAGCCAUGCCGCGUGUAUGAAGAAGGCCUGCGGGUUGUAAAGUACUUUCAGCGAGGAGGAAGGCAUUAAGGUUAAUAACCUUGGUGAUUGACGUUACUCGCAGAAGAAGCACCGGCUAACUCCGUGCCAGCAGCCGCGGUAAUACGGAGGGUGCAAGCGUUAAUCGGAAUUACUGGGCGUAAAGCGCACGCAGGCGGUCUGUCAAGUCGGAUGUGAAAUCCCCGGGCUCAACCUGGGAACUGCAUUCNAAACUGGCANGCUAGAGUCUUGUAGAGGGGGGUAGAAUUCCANGUGUAGCGGUGAAAUGCGUANAGAUCUGGANGAAUACCGGUGGCNAANNCGGCCCCCUGGACAAAGACUGACGCUCANGUGCGAAAGCGUGGGGANCAACAGGAUUANAUACCCUGGUAGUCCACGCCGUAAACGAUGUCGAUUUGNAGAUUG